RNAcentral lists this ribosomal RNA (253 nucleotides) under uncultured bacterium. RNAcentral describes it as "partial 16S ribosomal RNA". It matches the Rfam family "Bacterial small subunit ribosomal RNA", at positions 524 to 776 of the family's 1533-position model. The record is from RNAcentral.
UACGGGGGGGGCAAGCGUUGUUCGGAAUUACUGGGCGUAAAGGGCGCGUAGGCGGCCUUCUAAGUCAGACGUGAAAGCCCUCGGCUCAACCGAGGAAUUGCGCUCUAAACUGUCGUGCUUGAGGAACCUAGAGGUGAGCAGAACAGAUGGUGGAGCGGUGAAAUGCGUUGAUAUCAUCUGGAAUACCGGAGGCGAAGGCGGCUCACUGGGGGUUUUCUGACGCUGAGGAACGAAAGCCAGGGUAGCGAACGGG